GUGCUGUGUAUUAAAUAUGCAGUGUCUUUAUGAGGACUUGUGAAAGUGCUAGCAGGGCCACUAACAGACUUCAGUUCAUGCCACCUACACUCCUACAGUGUCUCGUAGGGGACUUGUAUUUAUCAGCGGCUCCCUCUUUUAGUAAAGCUCUAUAUGCAGAAGUGACAAAUGGCACCGAAACACCUGUAUAACACGCAGAGUACAGACUAAUGUAUUGCAUUUUUAUUUUACAGGUGAGACCCUAUGGCUGGCUGGCUGCUUGGUUUGACCAGGAUACCCAACUACAGCUUUGAGGAAACUUCUGCAUCUAAAUACAGUGACCACAGAAGGGAAGCAUGCAUUUCAUAAAAGAAUGUGGGAACCUGGCAUUGGACGCCUGAACAAAGUGUUUUGUAUAUAUGUCUUUGUAAAUAUUUUUAAAUAAACUCCCUUUUUUUGAUA
Spea bombifrons (plains spadefoot toad) is the source of this 441-nucleotide long non-coding RNA. RefSeq lists it as uncharacterized. NCBI's taxonomy places the organism in Eukaryota, Metazoa, Chordata, Amphibia, Anura, Pelobatidae. The transcript is spliced from 3 exons. The record is from RefSeq and is a predicted model, not a curated record.